This 468-nucleotide ribosomal RNA is filed under the name uncultured bacterium. RNAcentral describes it as "partial 16S ribosomal RNA". It matches the Rfam family "Bacterial small subunit ribosomal RNA", at positions 28 to 507 of the family's 1533-position model. The record is from RNAcentral.
GACGAACGCUGGCGGCGUGCCUAACACAUGCAAGUCGAACGGAAAGGCCCUGCUUUUGUGUGGUUCUCGAGUGGCGAACGGGUGUGAAACACGUGAGUAACCUGCCCUUGACUUUGUGAUAACUUCAGGAAACUGGGGCUAAUACCGGAUAGGAGCUCCUGCUGCAUGGUGGGCGUUGGAAAGUUUCGGCGGUGGGGGAUCGACUCGCGGCUUAUCAGCUUGUUGGGGGAGUAGUGGCUUACCCAGGGUUUGAAGGCUAGCCGGCCUGAGAGGGUUAACAGGCACCAUAGGACUGAGGGAGGCACCAGACGGGUACGGGAGGCAACGGGGGGGAGUAUUGCACAGUGAGCGGGCGCCUGAUGCGGAGACGCCGCGAGCGGGAAGACGGCCUUCGGGUGAUGAACCGCUUUCGCCUGUGACGAAGCGUGAGUGACGGUAAUGGGUAAAGAAGCACCGGCUAACUACGUG